UGAGGAAUAUUGGACAAUGGGCGCAAGCCUGAUCCAGCCAUGCCGCGUGCAGGAUGAAGCAUCUAUGGUGUGUAAACUGCUUUUGUACGGGAAGAAACCCUGGCUCGUGAGCCAGACUGACGGUACCGUAAGAAUAAGGAUCGGCUAACUCCGUGCCAGCAGCCGCGGUAAUACGGAGGAUCCAAGCGUUAUCCGGAAUCAUUGGGUUUAAAGGGUCCGUAGGCGGCCUUAUAAGUCAGUGGUGAAAUCUCCCGGCUCAACCGGGAAAUGGCCAUUGAUACUGUAGGGCUUGAAUUAUUGGGAAGUAACUAGAAUAUGUAGUGUAGCGGUGAAAUGCUUAGAUAUUACAUGGAAUACCGAUUGCGAAGGCAGGUUACUACCAAUUGAUUGACGCUGAUGGACGAAAGCGUGGGUAGCGAACAG
RNAcentral lists this ribosomal RNA (423 nucleotides) under uncultured bacterium. RNAcentral describes it as "bacterial SSU rRNA". It matches the Rfam family "Bacterial small subunit ribosomal RNA", at positions 355 to 775 of the family's 1533-position model. The record is from RNAcentral.